UACGUAGGGGGCAAGCGUUAUCCGGAUUUACUGGGUGUAAAGGGAGCGUAGGCGGUUCAGCAAGUCAGAAGUGAAAGCCCGGGGCUCAACUCCGGGACUGCUUUUGAAACUGCCAGGCUAGAGUGUCGGAGAGGUAAGUGGAAUUCCUAGUGUAGCGGUGAAAUGCGUAGAUAUUAGGAGGAGCACCAGUGGCGAAGGCGGCUUACUGGACGAUGACUGACGCUGAGGCACGAAAGCGCGGGGAUCGAACAGG
This 253-nucleotide ribosomal RNA is filed under the name uncultured Coprococcus sp. Its description in RNAcentral is "partial 16S ribosomal RNA". It matches the Rfam family "Bacterial small subunit ribosomal RNA", at positions 524 to 776 of the family's 1533-position model. Lineage: Bacteria; Bacillati; Bacillota; Clostridia; Lachnospirales; Lachnospiraceae. The record is from RNAcentral.